AUUGAACGCUGGCGGCAGGCCUAACACAUGCAAGUCGAGCGGAUGACGGGAGCUUGCUCCUUGAUUCAGCGGCGGACGGGUGAGUAAUGCCUAGGAAUCUGCCUGGUAGUGGGGGACAACGUUUCGAAAGGAACGCUAAUACCGCAUACGUCCUACGGGAGAAAGCAGGGGACCUUCGGGCCUUGCGCUAUCAGAUGAGCCUAGGUCGGAUUAGCUAGUUGGUGGGGUAAUGGCUCACCAAGGCGACGAUCCGUAACUGGUCUGAGAGGAUGAUCAGUCACACUGGAACUGAGACACGGUCCAGGCUCCUACGGGAGGCAGCAGUGGGGAAUAUUGGACAAUGGGCGAAAGCCUGAUCCAGCCAUGCCGCGUGUGUGAAGAAGGUCUUCGGAUUGUAAAGCACUUUAAGUUGGGAGGAAGGGCAGUAAGCGAAUACCUUGCUGUUUUGACGUUACCGACAGAAUAAGCACCGGCUAACUCUGUGCCAGCCGCCGCAGUAA
RNAcentral lists this ribosomal RNA (500 nucleotides) under uncultured bacterium. RNAcentral's name for it is "partial 16S ribosomal RNA". It matches the Rfam family "Bacterial small subunit ribosomal RNA", at positions 30 to 523 of the family's 1533-position model. The record is from RNAcentral.